CACUGUACAACACUGGCAAUACACUGUAGAACUGGCCUACAACACUGGCAGCGGCCGGACGGCAGACUUGAAUGCGUCUAGGUUCGGGGCUGUCACUACUGCGGUGGGAAAGGAGUUCCAGAUAGAUGCUAUCCUGGGGGAAAACUAGCGUUAACAUGCGUUACGUGAGGAUUGUGGAGGGAUGCAGUUUUGAGAGUUGCUUUGUCUGGUUGAUCUGACUAUGGAACGGUCUAGUAGAUAUAAAGCUGGUACGGCAAUAAGACCAUAAACAACUCUGUAGAAUAGCACCAAGUCAAAUCAUUGCCUACUUUGUUGCAAAGUCUGCAAAUUGAGUUCAUUGAUGAUUGAUGUUACACUAUCUGGCUGGCAUGGGUUGAAAGGCCACGAAUCUGGCAGAAUUACGUUGUACUUGUUUGAUUUGUUUCAGGUGAGUUGUUUGUUUCUGAGUAGGAUUCCAGAUGGGUGAAUACUAUUCCAACUUUGGUCUAACUAAUAAUUGACAAACUCGGUCUUUAACUAGUUUGGGGCAUUUGUCAAGGGUUCGUUUAAAAAAAAAAGUUUGUAAAGCCUUUCCAGUUAUUUAUUCGAUAUGAGUGUCAAAUUUUAAGUUGUCGUUAAAUUCAACGCCUAAAUAUGCAUUAUGGUCUACAGAUUCUAAAGUUUCACCACUCAUUGUAUAAGCAUAACGUUGUUUAAUUGUUGGAUGUGUUGAAGAUAUUCAUUAUUGCACAUUUUUUUCACAUUGAAAUCCAUCUGCCAUGACUUACUCCAUUCUACAAGUUUAUCAAAAUCUUGCUGAAGUUUCUGUUGAUCGGCUGGAUAUUUAAUUACACGAUAGAUUACACAGUCAUCUGCGAAUAGUCGUACUACAGACGAAAUACUACUCGUACAACAAUGACACUUACUGAGAAUACAUGUAAAAAAAUGAAAAUCAUUGCUGACUUCGUUUGUAUUGACGGAAACCGACCCUCUCCAGAUGGAUAAAAUAAGUUUUAACAAUAAAUGUGGAAAAAGUCUCCCACAUUCGAAUGGCAGUAUGAUCUAUUAGUUGAUAGUGACCAUCAAGUGGUAGAAGUAAAAGGAGCGGAAGUAGUUGAGGACAUCAUUUGACGUCUCUUUCGUCGAACCGCGCUAUACAUAAUAAUGUUCACUUGUUCCCGAUAUAUUUCGCGCCAAAAGGCUUUUUCAAACUUUGUUUUCUACAAAUUCACUACAUGAUCUUCGUGCUACUCAACAACAAAAAUGUAUAUUGACGUCAAAAAACAAAUAAACAGGAAAUGACGUCAUAACGUCUUGACGCAAAUUAGCGCAAUGUUUCAAAUACGACGUCGUAUCCUGGAAGUAAAGAUCUGUUUGUCAAAGCGAUCAUUAGAGCUCACGAAAAAAAACGGAGAUUUUCCCGAAAUGAUGGAGUCAAGCAACGAAACAAAGGUUAGGAAUGACAUCUGGAGGCGUAUUUCUCGAGGCAUGAGAGGAGAAAAAGUCAGCGAGUUAGCGGAACGGUCAAUAAAGAUGUUUUCGCUUUUAGCUACCUGUGUAAGACCCGCACGGUCCAAGGACCCCGACGUGUAUAUAUGCUCUCCAAUAACGUGGGAGAAGUCCAGCAAACUUCCCAUCUACAGAGGGCCCCAAAUCACCGUUCCUUGGACGGGUCCAGUGUGUAAUACCCCACAUCUCGGUACCUCACAAACGCCGAGCUGAAGGCUCAAGUGAACCUUCUAGAACUCAGGUUCCGGAAGCAGUCAGAGAUACUGGAAAAGCACGGGCGUCGGACCUCUGUGCCGCAAAAGAUCAAUAUACCGUAUUUUAACGAAGAGAAAGUUUCGGAAAUGGCCGAUCUCGUCGAGAAAAUCAAACUGCGCUGAUACAGACGGGAUUGAGGAAUAGAUGGUGUGUCCUCACGUGGAAACCAGAAACUGGCGCUGAACUUUUAUAAUUUGUAUAACUAGUUUUUUUAUUAUAAUUAUUAAUUGUGAUUUAGUUUGGGAAAUAUUUAUUUCAUACCAUUUUAUUUGCAAGAAGUAUUUCAUGAUUUUGAA
Dreissena polymorpha is the source of this 2039-nucleotide long non-coding RNA. RefSeq lists it as uncharacterized. The transcript is spliced from 2 exons. Lineage: Eukaryota; Metazoa; Mollusca; Bivalvia; Myida; Dreissenidae. The record is from RefSeq and is a predicted model, not a curated record.